CUGCAUGUUAAUCCAAGAGCUGUGGCUCCACGAAGUAGCUGCAGGUCUCCAACAACAUGCCAAAGCAAUGGGAAGGUCUUUGACUGCUGGGCCUCUUCUGCCCGUGGCUGUCACUCACCCCUCCAAUACAU
Small nucleolar RNA from Cyanoderma ruficeps (rufous-capped babbler), 131 nucleotides. The record is from Ensembl. Lineage: Eukaryota; Metazoa; Chordata; Aves; Passeriformes; Timaliidae.